UACAGAGGGGGCAAGCGUUAUUCGGAAUUAUUGGGCGUAAAGGGCGCGUAGGCGGCUUUGCAAGUGGCGGGUGAAAUCCCUCGGCUUAACCGAGGAACUGCCUGCCAGACUGUGAGGCUUGAGACCGGGAGAGGUGAGUGGAAUUCCCAGUGUAGCGGUGAAAUGCGUAGAUAUUGGGAGGAACACCAGUGGCGAAGGCGGCUCACUGGACCGGAACUGACGCUGAGGCGCGAAAGCGUGGGGAGCAACAGG
RNAcentral lists this ribosomal RNA (252 nucleotides) under uncultured bacterium. Its description in RNAcentral is "partial 16S ribosomal RNA". It matches the Rfam family "Bacterial small subunit ribosomal RNA", at positions 524 to 775 of the family's 1533-position model. The record is from RNAcentral.